AUUGAACGCUGGCGGCAGGCUUAACACAUGCAAGUCGAACGAUGACUCUCUAGCUUGCUAGGGAUGAUUAGUGGCGGACGGGUGAGUAACAUUUAGGAAUCUGCCUAGUAGUGGGGGAUAGCUCGGCGAAACUCGAAUUAAUACCGCAUACGACCUACGGGUGAAAGGGGGCGCAAGCUCUUGCUAUUAGAUGAGCCUAAAUCAGAUUAGCUAGUUGGUGGGGUAAAGGCCCACCAAGGCGACGAUCUGUAACUGGUCUGAGAGGAUGAUCAGUCACACCGGAACUGAGACACGGUCCGGACUCCUACGGGAGGCAGCAGUGGGGAAUAUUGGACAAUGGGGGCAACCCUGAUCCAGCCAUGCCGCGUGUGUGAAGAAGGCCUUUUGGUUGUAAAGCACUUUAAGCAGGGAGGAGAGGCUAAUGGUUAAUACCCAUUAGAUUAGACGUUACCUGCAGAAUAAGCACCGGCUAACUCUGUG
Molecule: ribosomal RNA, 480 nt
Filed under: uncultured bacterium
Lineage: Bacteria
Description: partial 16S ribosomal RNA
Rfam family: Bacterial small subunit ribosomal RNA
Source: RNAcentral